GGAGGGUGCGGUCGGGGAACGGAUUCACUGGGUUUUUAGGGAGCGUCGGUGGGUUUGUAAGUCCGUGGUGAAAUCUCGAAGCUUAACUUGGAAGCUGCCCGGAAGACGUUUUCUUGAAUUCCGUGGAGGUGAGCGGAAUUUGUCGUGUAGCGGUGAAAUGCUUAGAUAUUACAUAGAACAGCGAUUGCGAAGGCAGCUCACUACACAAAUAUUGCCCCUGAGGCACGAAAGCGUGGGGAUCAAACAGGAUUAGAUACCCUGGUAGUCCACGCCCUAAACUAUGGAUACUCGAGCUCGUUGAUACACAGUGUGUGUUUGAGCGAAAAACUUAAGUAUCCCUCCUGGGAAGUGCGAUCACAACAUUGGAACUCAAAGGAAUUGUCCUUGGUCCCCUGCACCGGUGGAGCAUGUGGUUUAAAAGGUUCAUACGCUAAGAACCUUACCUGCGCCAGAUUGCACCCUGACCGUGGGAUGAAAGCUAAUUUUUUUGAAUUCACAUCAUUGAAAGGUACUGCAUGGGUGACGUCAGCUCGUGCCAUGAGGUGACGGUGAAGUGCCGCAACGAGCGACAACCCCCAUCAGUGUCUGCCAUCGGGUCACGCUGGGUACUCUACUUGAAAUGGCCCUCAUCAGACGUGACGACAGAAGGGAUGAUGUCAAGUCAUCUGCCCUUGAUGUUCAAGG
This 684-nucleotide ribosomal RNA is filed under the name uncultured bacterium. RNAcentral describes it as "bacterial SSU rRNA". It matches the Rfam family "Bacterial small subunit ribosomal RNA", at positions 527 to 1213 of the family's 1533-position model. The record is from RNAcentral.